Callithrix jacchus (white-tufted-ear marmoset) is the source of this 99-nucleotide small nuclear RNA. The record is from Ensembl. Lineage: Eukaryota; Metazoa; Chordata; Mammalia; Primates; Cebidae.
UUGCUUUGGCAGCACAUAUACUAAAAUUGGAAUGAUACAGAUAAGAUUAGCAUAAGCUCCUGUGUAAGGAUGACAUGAAAUGAAGCAUUAAAUUUUUUU